Molecule: long non-coding RNA, 1420 nt
Filed under: Panax ginseng (ginseng)
Lineage: Eukaryota; Viridiplantae; Streptophyta; Magnoliopsida; Apiales; Araliaceae
Description: long non-coding RNA (PGIN_LNC002751)
Source: RNAcentral
AGCGGUUUUAUGUGAUAAUAGCUGUGACGUCCCCAAAAUAUGUUCACACAAUCCAUUCUGAGUCGUCAAAUACAUGGUACAGAAUUCAAAUACAAACUUUAUUUAUACAACUAUUAAUUAUCCUGUAAAAUAUAACAAAACAUAAGAUGUAAGUUUCAAUACAAAUAUUAUCUCGUAGACAAUAUUCAAACUCAAAUAAAGUCCUUAUUAUAAUUAUUGUCACACUAUUUUAUAAAAUAGUGAAGACUAAUAUAAUAAUCAUUUUGGACCAUUACUCCACUCCCCGACUAGUCUCAGCUACAUUCACGCGUCCUGAGAAGAACAAUGGAACCAAAAGAAAAAAGGUGAGCUCAACUAGCCCAGUAAAGAAUAUUAUGACUAAGAUAAUGUAGAACAAAUUAUCCUUAAUCCUCAACAGGGAAAAAUCUGAUAGAAUACAAUAGACAACAAGUUUUAGAUCAACAAUUGCGGAAACAACAAUCUUUAGAAGAGUCAAGUAAAGUAUAAUGUCUACUAUCUUUUAUGAUUUAAAAGUUCAUCAUCAAUAUUUUAUCCCUGUAACACCAAUUAAUAAUUAUUUUCAAUCAACGAAUUAUCUAUGCGCAACGAGCCAAAGAUAAUCGUUUGCAUCACCAGUGGUUAUGAUUAUGUCAAAGAUCUGUUCAUUACGGGCCAAAUAGGACUUUCACCACAAACUUUAUCUGUAACAUUAAAGAUCAUAAUUAUACAAUUACACAAUUCUUAGUCAUAAUCAAACCAAUCAACAGCUCAUCUUUGCAGUACGGACCAAAGAUACUUUCAGCAUAAUAUAAGUAUGAGGAUGAUGACAAUGAUAUAAAGAAUCAAUCAAGUGAGAUCAAUGAUAAAUAUUAGAGAUUUAUAAUUCAAUUUAUCCAGAGUUCAAGAAUGUCCAAAUUGUCAACAUGAUAAUUAAUUGUGGAGUAAAAUUCAAAAAUAAUAUUUAAGAAGAUAAUUUGGACAAAGAAAAGAAACUAAAUUUCGUCGUGAAUAGUAUCGUAUGAAUAACACUCACGAAUAGUACCGUAUGAAUAGUAUUCCGGAUGAAUAGUGCCCCGACAUGAAAAGAUUAAAAUUUAGUAAGAAAAUUUAGACCAAUAUUCUAAUGAAAUGAUAUUAGAUGAAGCGCAAACCUUAAGAAAUUUUUAAUCAUUUCAGGAAUUAUAAAAACAAUACUUACUAUAAUAAAUUUAAAUUUAGGAAUAUGAAAUGAAAUAAUAUCACUUACAUAAUAUAAAGUAUGAAAAAAAAUAAUAUCUCUUACGAGCUAGUAUUGAAAGAAAAUAACACCCUUUACUUUAGAAGAAAAUUAGAUUUAACUGGAAUAUUGAAUAUUAUCUUGCGAAAAUCUUGUACUUAUAUUCAAGAGAAAUACUCACAAUAUUAUAGAAUAAAAAUUUCU